UGGGGAAUAUUGGACAAUGGGGGGAACCCUGAUCCAGCAAUGCCGCGUGUGUGAAGAAGGCCUGCGGGUUGUAAAGCACUUUCAGUAGGGAGGAGGUUACUUAGGUUAAGAGCUAGAGUGAUGGACGUUACCUACAGAAGAAGCACCGGCUAACUCCGUGCCAGCAGCCGCGGUAAUACGGAGGGUGCAAGCGUUAAUCGGAAUUACUGGGCGUAAAGGGUGCGUAGGUUGUUUGGUAAGCUAUCUGUGAAAUGCCUGGGCUUAACCUGGGCAGGUCAGAUAAGACUGUCAGACUCGAGUAUGGGAGAGGGUAGUGGAAUUUCCGGUGUAGCGGUGAAAUGCGUAGAGAUCGGAAGGAACAUCGGUGGCGAAGGCGGCUCACUGGCCCGGAACUGACGCUGAGGUGCGAAAGCGUGGGGAGCAAAC
This 426-nucleotide ribosomal RNA is filed under the name uncultured bacterium. RNAcentral's name for it is "bacterial SSU rRNA". It matches the Rfam family "Bacterial small subunit ribosomal RNA", at positions 355 to 773 of the family's 1533-position model. The record is from RNAcentral.